AUACGAAGGGGGCUAGCGUUGUUCGGAAUUACUGGGCGUAAAGCGUGCGCAGGCGGCUCAUCAAGUCAGAGGUGAAAGCCCAGGGCUCAACCCUGGAAUUGCCUUUGAAACUGGUGGGCUUGAGUGCGGGAGAGGUGAGUGGAAUUCCCAGUGUAGAGGUGAAAUUCGUAGAUAUUGGGAAGAACACCGGUGGCGAAGGCGGCUACCUGGACCGAUACUGACGCUGAGACGCGAAAGCGUGGGGAGC
Molecule: ribosomal RNA, 247 nt
Filed under: uncultured bacterium
Lineage: Bacteria
Description: partial 16S ribosomal RNA
Rfam family: Bacterial small subunit ribosomal RNA
Source: RNAcentral